GAGCAUCUAGGUUAUAUUUCUGCUACGCUGCAAACUAGAAAAAUCGCCGCUGCCCUACCCUAUGCAAGCCAGCCUCUAUCCGCUGUUGAAAUCGGCUGCUAGCUGUUUUUUAUGCUUACUAAUCAACCAGAGGUAAUGGCGUUUGUUGUGAAAGUGUUUGAACAUCUUAAAAUUCAUUUGGAAGAGUUAAAAAAGCCACCUAAGAUGUUUGGUUACAAAGUUAUUAAAGUUGUGGAUUUGGAAAUGUGUAUGACACUCUAAAGGGCGAAACAUGGUUGCUAUUGAGCGUAUUAAAUUCAUUAAUUUAAGCGAUUUCACCCUGAGUUUUGGAAGGAGAUCAUUAUGCUUUCCCGUUACAUCUCUAGGAAUCUGACGUCGUGAUCUCUCUUGUCGGAUUUUGUGAUGAGAAAUGUGGAUUUUGUGAUGAAAAAUGCGGAUUUUGUGAUGAGGAAUAUGAGAAGAUCCUUGUACAAGUAUUCAUCUAAUGCAAUCCGAAACAGUCUGUUAAACUCCACUAUUGCUACAUGGACACAACGUCUCAAGAUAUGUCGCAAGCGGGCUAGCCUACCUUCGUAUUUGUUUGUGUAAAAAACAAGAUGCAAUUAUUGGUUAAAGAGUAUCAAAGGUGUUGUAUAAAAAAUGUUAUCUCUUAGUACAUAAAAUAAAUUUUAAU
RNAcentral lists this long non-coding RNA (673 nucleotides) under Helianthus annuus (common sunflower). The record is from RNAcentral. Lineage: Eukaryota; Viridiplantae; Streptophyta; Magnoliopsida; Asterales; Asteraceae.